Molecule: ribosomal RNA, 914 nt
Filed under: uncultured marine archaeon
Lineage: Archaea
Also listed under: 1 other name
Description: bacterial SSU rRNA
Rfam family: Archaeal small subunit ribosomal RNA
Source: RNAcentral
UUCCGGUUGAUCCUGCCGGACCUGACUGCUAUCGGAUUGAUACUAAGCCAUGCUAGUCUUUGUAGUAAUACAAGGCAUACGGCUCAGUAACGCGUAGUCAACCUACCCUAUGGACGGGGAUAAUCUCGGGAAACUGAGCAUAAUACCCGGCAGACCACUUAUCCUGGAAUGGUUAGUGGUUAAAAUGAUUCGUCGCCAUAGGAUGGGACUGCGGCCUAUCAGCUUGUUGGUGAGGUAAUGGCCCACCAAGGCGAUUACAGGUACGGGCUCUGAGAGGAGAGGCCCGGAGAUGGGUACUGAGACAAGGACCCAGGCCCUAUGGGGCGCAGCAGGCGAGAAAACUUUGCAAUGUGCGAAAGCACGACAAGGUUAAUCCGAGUGAUUUCUGCUAAAGGAAUCUUUUGUUAGUUCUAAAAAUACUAGUGAAUAAGGGGUGGGCAAGUUCUGGUGUCAGCCGCCGCGGUAAAACCAGCACCUCAAGUGGUCAGGAGGAUUAUUGGGCCUAAAGCAUCCGUAGCCUGUUCUAUAAGUUUGCGGUUAAAUCUAUACGCUCAACGUAUAGGCUGCCGUAAAUACUGUAGAACUAGGGAGUGGGAGAGGUAGACGGUACUCGAUAGGAAGGGGUAAAAUCCUUUGAUCUAUUGAUGACCACCUGUGGCGAAGGCGGUCUACCAGAACACGUUCGACGGUGAGGGAUGAAAGCUGGGGGAGCAAACCGGAUUAGAUACCCGGGUAGUCCCAGCUGUAAACGAUGCAGACUCGAUGAUGCAAUGGCAUAGAGCUAUUGCAGUAUCGCAGGGAAGCCGUUAAGUUUGCCGCCUGGGAAGUACGUACGCAAGUAUGAAACUUAAAGGAAUUGGCGGGGGAGCACCACAAGGGGUGAAGCCUGCGGUUCAAUUGGAGUCAACGCCGGG